GAUGAACGCUGGCGGCGUGCCUAAUACAUGCCAGUCGAGCGAACAGACGAGGAGCUUGCUCCUCUGACGUUAGCGGCGGACGGGUGAGUAACACGUGGAUAACCUACCUAUAAGACUGGGAUAACUUCGGGAAACCGGAGCUAAUACCGGAUAAUAUAUUGAACCGCAUGGUUCAAUAGUGAAAGACGGUUUUGCUGUCACUUAUAGAUGGAUCCGCGCCGCAUUAGCUAGUUGGUAAGGUAACGGCUUACCAAGGCAACGAUGCGUAGCCGACCUGAGAGGGUGAUCGGCCACACUGGAACUGAGACACGGUCCAGACUCCUACGGGAGGCAGCAGUAGGGAAUCCUCCGCAAUGGGCGAAAGCUUGACGGAGCAACGCCGCGUGAGUGAUGAAGGUCUUCGGAUCGUAAAACUCUGUUAUUAGGGAAGAACAAAUGUGUAAGUAACUAUGCACGUCUUGACGGUACCUAAUCAGAAAGCCACGGCUAACUACGUG
Molecule: ribosomal RNA, 497 nt
Filed under: uncultured bacterium
Lineage: Bacteria
Description: partial 16S ribosomal RNA
Rfam family: Bacterial small subunit ribosomal RNA
Source: RNAcentral